CGGAACGUGCCCAGUAGCGGGGGAUAACUACGCGAAAGCGUAGCUAAUACCGCAUACGUCCUAUGGGAGAAAGCGGGGGACCUUCGGGCCUCGCACUAUUGGAGCGGCCGAUAUCGGAUUAGCUAGUUGGUGGGGUAAAGGCUCACCAAGGCGACGAUCCGUAGCUGGUUUGAGAGGACGACCAGCCACACUGGGACUGAGACACGGCCCAGACUCCUACGGGAGGCAGCAGUGGGGAAUUUUGGACAAUGGGGGCAACCCUGAUCCAGCCAUCCCGCGUGUGCGAUGAAGGCCUUCGGGUUGUAAAGCACUUUUGGCAGGAAAGAAACGGUUCCGGAUAAUACCUGGAGCAACUGACGGUACCUGCAGAAUAAGCACCGGCUAACUACGUGCCAGCAGCCGCGGUAAUACGUAGGGUGCAAGCGUUAAUCGGAAUUACUGGGCGUAAAGCGUGCGCAGGCGGUUCGGAAAGAAAGAUGUGAAAUCCCAGAGCUUAACUUUGGAACUGCAUUUUUAACUACCGAGCUAGAGUGUGUCAGAGGGGGGUGGAAUUCCGCGU
Molecule: ribosomal RNA, 559 nt
Filed under: uncultured bacterium
Lineage: Bacteria
Description: bacterial SSU rRNA
Rfam family: Bacterial small subunit ribosomal RNA
Source: RNAcentral